Long non-coding RNA from Mytilus californianus (California mussel), 870 nucleotides. RefSeq lists it as uncharacterized. The record is from RefSeq and is a predicted model, not a curated record. Lineage: Eukaryota; Metazoa; Mollusca; Bivalvia; Mytilida; Mytilidae. The transcript has 3 exons.
GAACUCCUUGUACACAAUUUAUUGUCAUAGGUGAGGUUGCUUUCAAUACAUUCUCAACUACAAUAAAUCUAAAUUACAAUGGGUGUGAAGAUAUACAUAUGGGCAGAGGGAGGAGGAAGUGUAGGUCAUGGAUCGAUGACCCUAGGCGAUGGAACCCAUAUCAGCUGGUGGCCCAAAGAAGACAAAAAGAAAUCUCCCUUCCAAAGAUGGAAAUCAGUAGAAGCAGAACCUGCAACUUCGUAUGAACAAGAUGUUGAAUGGGAAAAUAGAAAACCAGCUGAUUUCAUAUACGAAAUUCCCUCCGGGAAACUUGACGAGGCAGCAAUUAGAUCUUGGUGGAAUGAGUUCAAAACGACCAAUACGUAUCACAUCGCUUUUAAGAAUUGUUGCAGUGCCGUUUACAGCGCAUUGAAGAAAGGUGGAGCUGAAAAAUUAGUGCCGUUCCCAGGGUCUCUUAUUUCAACACCAGCAAAUUUGAAAGAAUACGCAGAGAAACUACAGAAAGCUACAAUUUAACAAACAAAGGAUAAAGAACACAUCUGAUUUUUUUAUAACCGAAAGAAUAUAGUUUUAUCAUUAUAGUGUUUCUUGUAAUCUUGAACUCUUGACUCCGCUUAAAAGUAUUUCAGAAAUUGCUUUUGUAAAUUAAGAAAACUGACAUGAUUAGUUACUAUUCAAAAACAAUGUUUUUUUUUUUGGACUGAUUGUCCUUUUCUUUGUCUCAACUAUUGACCCUUAUCAUAUACCAAUUUCGAACUUCAGGGACAUUCCCAGGUUUAACCUCAAUUUUACGUCAGUUGUCCCUAUGUCACUUCCAAAUCAAAAUUUAUACUGCUAUGCUUUAAUAAAUCUAAUAAAUCUAUAAUGAAA